Molecule: non-coding RNA, 21 nt
Filed under: Caenorhabditis elegans
Lineage: Eukaryota; Metazoa; Nematoda; Chromadorea; Rhabditida; Rhabditidae
Source: RNAcentral
UGCUCAGUUGUAUCGCUAUUA